Molecule: transfer RNA, 84 nt
Filed under: Paravannella minima
Lineage: Eukaryota; Discosea; Flabellinia; Vannellidae
Description: tRNA-Leu
Rfam family: tRNA
About the family: Transfer RNA (tRNA) molecules are approximately 80 nucleotides in length. Their secondary structure includes four short double-helical elements and three loops (D, anti-codon, and T loops).
Source: RNAcentral
ACCUACUUGGUGGAAUUGGUAGACACGAUAGACUUAAAAUCUAUUUCUUAUAAUAGAGUGUUGGUUCAAAUCCAACAGUGGGUA